UACGUAGGGCGCAAGCGUUGUCCGGAAUUAUUGGGCGUAAAGAGCUCGUAGGCGGUUUGUCGCGUCUGCCGUGAAAGUCCGGGGCUCAACUCCGGAUCUGCGGUGGGUACGGGCAGACUAGAGUGAUGUAGGGGAGACUGGAAUUCCUGGUGUAGCGGUGAAAUGCGCAGAUAUCAGGAGGAACACCGAUGGCGAAGGCAGUGUUCUGGGCCAGUACUGACGCUGAGGAGCGAAAGCGUGGGUAGCAAACAGG
RNAcentral lists this ribosomal RNA (253 nucleotides) under uncultured bacterium. RNAcentral describes it as "partial 16S ribosomal RNA". It matches the Rfam family "Bacterial small subunit ribosomal RNA", at positions 524 to 776 of the family's 1533-position model. The record is from RNAcentral.